RNAcentral lists this ribosomal RNA (507 nucleotides) under uncultured eukaryote. RNAcentral's name for it is "SSU rRNA". It matches the Rfam family "Eukaryotic small subunit ribosomal RNA", at positions 1052 to 1581 of the family's 1831-position model. The record is from RNAcentral.
AUCGGGCGAUGUUCUUUCUCUGACUCGCUCGGCACCUUACGGAAAUUCAAAGUUUCCGGCUUCUGCGGGGAAUAGUGUCACAAGGCUGACACUUAAAGACAUUGACGGAAGGGCACCACCAGGCGUGGAGCCUGCGGCUUAAUUUGACUCAACACGGGGAAACUCACCAGGUCCAGAUGAAAUAAGGAUUGACAGAUUGAGAGCUCUUUCUUGAUUUUUCAGGUGGUGGUGCAUGGCCGUUCUUAGUUGGUGGAGUGAUUUGUCUGCUUAAUUGCGAUAACGAACGAGACCUUAACCUGCUAAAUAGCCAGGCUAGCUUUGGCUGGUCGCCGGCUUCUUAGAGGGACUAUCGGCUCAAGCCGAUGGAAGUUUGAGGCAAUAACAGGUCUGUGACGCCCUUAGAUGUUCUGGGCCGCACGCGCGCUACACUGACAGAGCCAACGAGUUAUUCACCUUGGCCGGAAGGUCUGGGUAAUCUUGUUAAACUCUGUCGUGCUGGGGAUAGAG